Molecule: non-coding RNA, 26 nt
Filed under: Mus musculus (house mouse)
Lineage: Eukaryota; Metazoa; Chordata; Mammalia; Rodentia; Muridae
Source: RNAcentral
UAUGAAUCCUAGUUACGUAUGGCUUU